Non-coding RNA from Paramuricea clavata, 541 nucleotides. The record is from the annotation of a GenBank genome assembly. NCBI's taxonomy places the organism in Eukaryota, Metazoa, Cnidaria, Anthozoa, Malacalcyonacea, Plexauridae.
GCAAGGUUAACGGCGGAUGUAUUAUGCAGGCUACAUCCGCUGAGGGGAGUCCGUGACGUCAUAUCGAUCAAAGGGGUUGUUUCGCGCCUUGUGAUCAUUGCUUUGGUCUGGGUAUUCAUUCUGCCAUUGUAUGCUUUGCCUAGUUGCAGCAAGUUUUAGCGCCUCGUUACUUUUUCCCCACCCACCCACUCAUGAUAUUCUAGAGGAUUUUAUCUGGUAGUCUGUCGGUAUUUUUUUUUUGGGGGGGGGGUUGUUUGGGGGGGUUUUUUGUGUGUUUUUUUUGUUUGUUUUUUUAAUCUCACAGGAAUAGGAUGUAUAGACAACUAUACAUUGUAUUUCGUUUCCACUGACUUGUCAGUGUGACUGGUGCCGGAGGUAUGCCUUGGCAGAAUUGUCAUGGCUAUCUCUUUUUGCUGCUAAUAUUACUGAUUGUUGCUCUCAUUGUUGCUGCGCAGCUGCUAUGGCAAUACUUCUUGCCAUCAAGGCUAGUUGCGGCCUUGGACCACAAACGGCACCUACCUUCAAACACUAAUACUCUGCC